RNAcentral lists this ribosomal RNA (874 nucleotides) under uncultured bacterium. RNAcentral describes it as "bacterial SSU rRNA". It matches the Rfam family "Bacterial small subunit ribosomal RNA", at positions 8 to 917 of the family's 1533-position model. The record is from RNAcentral.
AGAGUUUGAUCCUGGCUCAGGAUGAACGCUGGCGGCGUGGAUAAGGCAUGCAAGUCAAACGGUCCAUGUAUUUAUAUAUGGACAGUGGCAAACGGGGUAGUAACAGGUAGGAACAUACCCAUGAGUCGUGAAUAACUGCGAGAAAUCGUAGCUAAUACACGAUAUCCCUACGGGGGAAAGAUUUAUCGCUCAUGGAAUGGCCUGCUUCGUAUCAGCUAGUUGGUAAGGUAAAAGCUUACCAAGGCUACGACGCGUAGGGGAGGUGAGAGCCUGACCCCCACCAUUGGAACUGCGACACGGUCCAAACUCCUACGGGAGGCUGCAGUCGAGAAUCUUCCGCAAUGCACGAAAGUGUGACGGAGCGACGCCGCGUGAUGGAUGAAGUAUUUCGGUAUGUAAACAUCUUUUAUAGGUGAGGAAGUAUAUUGACGUUAACCUAUGAAUAAGGGGUUCCUAAACUCGUGCCAGCAGGAGCGGUAAUACGAGUACCCCAAGCGUUAUCCGGAAUUAUUGGGCGUAAAGGGUCCGUAGGUGGCCAUAUUAGUCUUUUGUCAAAGACCCGUGCUCAACACGGGGGAGGCAAAGGAAACGGUAUGGCUUGAGUCUGUGAGAGGUGUGCGGAACUCAUGGUGUAGGGGUGAAAUCCGUUGAUAUCAUGGGGAACACCAAAAGCGAAGGCAGCACACUGGCACAUGACUGACACUAAGGGACGAAACCCUGGGUAGCGAAUGGGAUUAGAUACCCCAGUAGUCCAGGGCCUAAACGAUCUUGAUUAGCUUUGUGGAGUAUCGACCCUCUGCGAGGCGUAGCUAACGCGUUAAAUCAAGCGCCUGGGAAGUACGAGCGCAAGCUUAAAACUCAAGGGAUUGACGGG